Molecule: ribosomal RNA, 492 nt
Filed under: uncultured bacterium
Lineage: Bacteria
Description: partial 16S ribosomal RNA
Rfam family: Bacterial small subunit ribosomal RNA
Source: RNAcentral
AGUGAACGCUGGCGGUAGGCCUAACACAUGCAAGUCGAACGGCAGCACAGUGAGAGCUUGCUCUUACGGGUGGCGAGUGGCGGACGGGUGAGGAAUACAUCGGAAUCUACUUUUUCGUGGGGGAUAACGUAGGGAAACUUACGCUAAUACCGCAUACGACCUACGGGUGAAAGCAGGGGAUCUUCGGACCUUGCGCGAUUGAAUGAGCCGAUGUCGGAUUAGCUAGUUGGCGGGGUAAAGGCCCACCAAGGCGACGAUCCGUAGCUGGUCUGAGAGGAUGAUCAGCCACACUGGAACUGAGACACGGUCCAGACCCCUACGGGAGGCAGCAGUGGGGAAUAUUGGACAAUGGGCGCAAGCCUGAUCCAGCCAUACCGCGUGGGUGAAGAAGGCCUUCGGGUUGUAAAGCCCUUUUGUUGGGAAAGAAAAGCAGCAGGUUAAUACCCCGCUGUUCUGACGGUACCCAAAGAAUAAGCACCGGCUAACUUCGUG